Molecule: long non-coding RNA, 4395 nt
Organism: Ananas comosus (pineapple)
Lineage: Eukaryota; Viridiplantae; Streptophyta; Magnoliopsida; Poales; Bromeliaceae
Exons: 3
Source: RefSeq, a predicted model, not a curated record
AUUUAAAAAAAAUUAAAUAUAUAUAACUGAGAGUUCCUAGCGUAAGUGACAAAGUGCUUGAUGGUUGGUAACUGAGGUCUCAAGUUUGAAUCCUAGUUGAUUCACAUUUCCAGCUGAAGCGGGUAAAAUUAAAAUUUUAAAACUUGAGUCCCUAAAAUCAGAUAUUUGUAUUUGUGGCGUUAUAUUAAUUUAUGUCCCACUAAUAAAUAAGUUAAAAUUAGCAUUUAAUCCCUUUUAGCGGCAUGUUCCGAAUGACACUAAUUGAUUUAUAUUAGAGGCAUGUUCCUAAUAACACUAAUUGAUUUACAUUGGCAGCAUUCAUUAUAAAUACUGCUAAUACUUUUAGCAACAUUGGCAUAUGCAACAGUUAGUGUCAUAUGCUGCUAAAAUUUUUAGUGGCAUUCGUUGAUCUUUUAGCAGCGUAAAUAAAUGUCACUAAUGACUAAUUUUCUAGUAGUGAAAUUUUUAAUUUUACUGCUAAAAUUUUGGAUCACAUCAUAAAUUGGAAUGGACCUGCGAAUUCAACAGAAUUUAAGAUAAUCCCUAUUGAGUAUAUAUGGAAGUGAAAACAAUGUCCUAAAUGAUAUCAAAGCAUAAGGUCUUGACUCCGAAUCUUUUGAGACUAAUUUUCUGCCAAAAUCUUUUGAUACUAAUCUUUAAUUUAGUUUUAGCAAUUUGCAUAUUUGGCUUUUAGCCAAAAUCUGCCAUUAGAUGCCAAAAUGUUUUGAGCACAUAAUAGUUAAAGGAUCAUUCUCUAAUAGCUUAGACCUGUAAAGAAAAAUAGUUCUCUCACCUCUAACCUACUAUUGUGCAAAUUGAUAUUAAGCUCAUCGUGCCCAACUAUUAUGAAUGGUCGAUGUGUAUUCAAUUAUUAUUUGAAUACUCUUGAUCUUACCAGUCAUAUUGAUGGUACCAAUCUAACAGUUGAUGAAACAAAACUAAAGCCUGAUUUGCUGCUGAUUGACGGGCACAUGGGCUUAUUUAUACAAGUGGAUAUCGACAUUUGUAUGCAAUUAAUCAGCCUAUCCACCAUUUACCAGAUGUGGUCUAUCUUUGAUCGAUAUAUAGAGACAAAUAUAUAGAUAGUAUAGUUAUGGUUAUUUUCUAAGUAUAGAAAAUCUGUAACAUACUGAAUUUUGGCUAAAUUAACAAAGUACGGAUUAAGUCAUGCUAGACACAAUUAAAAUGGGUUUGAAGGAGUGUAGUUUGAAUUUGGACCGAAUAUAAACUAAUUUAUAUUGAAAUUGAUUUUCAAAGAAGUGAAAACUGAAGUAUCAAACUUCUCGGAUGCCCGAAAUAGGAUCCCAAGCGCUCGAAACAGGAUCCCAAGCACCCGAAACCAUUUCGGACAGUGGGACUCACUUGAAGGAUGACUUUAGAGUGCCCGAAUGGCCCCAUAGGUGCCUGCAAAUUAACCUUUCAAAUCCUACUUAAGAGGAUCCAGACCCUCUUUCGGACUCCCAACCCGAGAACUUGGGAGGUGAAGGAUUGAAUAUUCGGUUGACCAAAAUCUGGCGCUCGAAAAAUCUUUCAAGCAGUCCCUCGCGGGCAUCCGAAUGUCUUUUGGAUGUUCAACCUGAGAGCGCAUGUGUGAUGGAUUAAAUAAUUGGACACCUGAUGUCCAUUUUGGGCACCCGUAUUAUGGAUAGGGCGGAUUGGCCGGGCAUCUAGACAAUUGACCAAAGGGAGCUACGAGGCUUUUGGGCUCCUAAAAGUUUGGACCGGCACCUGAAAGUCCGGACAAGUGGGUGCCCGAAUCCUAGUUAAAAGGUCGAGGUUUAUGGCUUUAUAAAUUUGGAUUGUCGGCGGGUUUAUGUGCUAUUAUAGCACGUCUAUGAGUAUCCUUUUAAUUAGUUAGCCCUAAUUUCUCUUAUAUUUCUUCCUCUCUCACUAUCCUCUUCUCUCUUUCUUUACAGUAAAAGAGCCCUAAAAUCUCUAUUGUUGAAACUUAAAGAUCUAUUUCCUUGAAAGCUUGGAGAAGGUCAAAUUCAUCAAGAGAACGCUCUUGGAGGGAGAAGAAGUCCAUUUCACCCGCAUUUCUUAUACCAGGAAGAGAAGAGAUCCUAUUAUUAUCUUUGAGGUGCGGGACCAUAGUAAGGGCGUUGUGGAGUAGUUAGACCAUGUUGCUGUAUGUUUCUGCUUCGUAUGGGUAGGGGAAAACUUGUCUUGUCCAGUGGAUCUAUUGUACAUGUCCAAGCGGGUCCAAUUGGUCGGACUCAAGGCAUGACACAAUCUCCACAGCUCAUCAAGAGGAGCGCAUAAUUUCGAUUUUCUAUGACUUUAUGCAGGCACUUUGGCAUCAAAUAGCAACUAUGGAUACCCUUAUGCCGCACUUGCUCAGCUUGUCAGUGUGCUUUCAAGCAAAAGCAAGUGCACAAUCAACAAUGUUUAUUCUAGUUCCUUAUGCACUUGCUACCUAAGUUUGAAGCCUUGCGUGGUCAACUUCUCCAUCGAACUCCAUUCCUCACCAUUGAUGCAGCUCUGGCGAAACUAAUUGCUGCAGAGACAUGCCUUCAAGUUCUAAGUUCCUCUAUUUCUGCGAUGCUUAUUGUCCUCGCUGCUCGUGAUCCUACAACUUCUCUACCUGCAUUAGUGUCUACUUCUUCUCAUCUAUACCUUCCAAUUCUUUUAGAAGUUAUAGUGCUAGACAAGACAAGUGGAGCAUUCGAUGUUGUUAUUGUUAUCUUUGGGCCCACUUGGUUCGACGUUAACCAAAAAAAAAAUGGAGAGAUCAGCAUGCAUGAGUAUUUUCGAAUGAGUUUCCUCUACUCCUUGCUAAACAUGAUACUUUGCCACAACUUUCAUGUAUGUGCAUCAACAAAAUGACAUUGCUGAGCGUAAGCACUGAUAUGAGACAUCUUUAAAACUGCUUACUCUCAUCUUAUAGAUGGGUCUACGCCUUAACAUUUUUGGGUUGAUGCUUUCUCUACAUAUGUGUCUAGUUUAUAUCAUGCCUUGUAGUCUCUUAUCUGCCAUAUCCCCCGGGGUGUGUGUGUGUGUGCGCACGCGUGUGUGUGUGUACACUUGUUUUGUUCUCCCACCCUGACAUGAAUGACCAAACUCUCCCUGAAAUUAUAUAUUCGUGUUUUCUUAGGCUAUAUCUUGAACACAACGAUGUUAUGAUCCUAUUGCUCGUCACAUGCAUAUUUCUCAAGAUAUCAUUCUUUUCUCGAACAUUUACCCAAUUAUGUUCAAUCUAGUUUGAGUGCUGACGUCAUUUCCAUUUCAAUGCUUAUAGUUGAUCUUUUUUCGCUUCAACAUUUCAUCAGCCACUAUUUCUUCUCCCGAAGAAUCCUAACCAACUGAUUCCUCAACUGCUACUUCUUCUCACCUUUACCGGCUCUAUUCUCUAUAGAUUUUCUUGUUGUACAAGCACCACCACAUGAGGACCACAUGAGGACCCAACAAGUAUCGCCUCAUCGGAUGAUCCGACCACCAUUGUGUAUCGAGAACUCGUCGUCCAAAAUAAUUUGUCGGUUCUAUUGACUCUACCUGCAUUUUUUUGUAUUAUCAUACAUUAAUUUCUUGCAGCUAUUUCUGAUAUCUGGGAACCACAAAUGUAUCGUAUACCGCUUCCAUUAUUGAAUGGCGGGAUGCGAUGACUACGGAACUUGUUGCCCUUCAUCGUGCUAGUAUCUGGUCAUUAGUUCUCCUUGCACCUGGCACCCUCUGCAACCUCUGAAAUUAUAUGGCUUGGAUAGUUCUUUGAUGACCUCGGUGCCCUCUACUCUGCUCCAACACAACCAUAUUGUGAUAAUCAAAGUGCGAUUAAAAUUGCGGAUAACAUGUCUUUCACGAACCCACCAACCAUAUCAAAAUGAGUCGCAAUUUCAUUCGCCGUUAUUAUACUAAUGGCACGAUAGCAUUACCAUUUGCUUCGUCCGUUCAACAGCUUACCGAUUUUUUCACCAAAUCUCAGUACAUUUGUCCAAAUCUUACACUAUUCAAAGAAAUUAGUACUUUUUGCCCAAACUCUUGUGGUGCUUGACCCGUCUUGAGUUUGCGGGAGCGUCAACAUAUAUAAAUAAAUAUUUUCAUUUACAUCUUCACUAUUAUCGAUCGGAGAAAAGAAAUUUCGUCGUAUAAUAAUUGUAUACUAUAUAGAGAUGUCUCCAUGUAUAUAUAUACCAUGUACCGAAUUAAUUAUCCGAUCUCUCCCUUGUAUAAAGAUAGAUGUCUCUUAUAUAUGAACAAUUAAUAGAAUCAGAAAGAAAUUAGGUUUUCGAUGGACGCACGCGAUCGAAACGGCCGAUUCGGUGAAAAAAUGGGUCGUGGGAGGUGUUAAUUCGCGUGCAAUUACUCGCGAGCGGAUCCACCACCGUCCUAACGAACUUAGCUGUCAUAAAUCAAAUUCAUCACAUCCAGGUAGGCAGCAUACAUAACUAUCUCCACCCU